RNAcentral lists this transfer-messenger RNA (369 nucleotides) under Arthrobacter sp. ATA002. It matches the Rfam family "transfer-messenger RNA". Rfam says of the family: Bacterial tmRNA, also known as 10Sa RNA or SsrA, is named for its dual tRNA and mRNA-like properties. Its role is to liberate the mRNA from a stalled ribosome. The record is from RNAcentral. Lineage: Bacteria; Bacillati; Actinomycetota; Actinomycetes; Micrococcales; Micrococcaceae.
GGGGAUGACAGGUUUCGACGGUGUUAGUCGAGACAGGUGAAGCGGGCCGAGGAUGCAGGGUUAUCUCGUAAACGCUCCUUGCAAAACAAUAAGUGCCGAUUCAAAGCGCACUGACUUCGCUCUCGCUGCCUAAGCAGCGGGCAUAGUCCGUCAGCCCGGGAAUGCUCUCGUCCCGGAUCCUGGCGUCAUUUAGAGGGCCACUGCUGAACACGCCCGCCGUUGGCGUGUUCGGGACUCUUAAACGGCUGGGCCCGGAUCAGCUGCUUGUCUGCAUGACAGCUGGGGCCAAGAAAAUCCACCGCAGACUGCGCCCGGAGAAGCCCUGACAACACGACAUCGGACGGGGGUUCAAUUCCCCCAUCUCCACAG